UUUAAUUCAGUUUUGACCAAUUCUGUUUGACACUUUAUUUCUUUGUCCAUUUCAUCUUCAUCUCAUUUCUUUUUAUUUUGGCCAAUGAGUUAAUGUCUUAUGGUUGGUCUUGACAUAUAAGAGGCUUAACAUUCUUUGAUCCAAAUCAAACUCAACUUGAUCCAUGAUCAAGUGAGUUGCUUUGUGUCCAAGAUAGGUUGCUUCUUGGUCAAGCAAAAAAAACC
This 224-nucleotide long non-coding RNA is filed under the name Lathyrus oleraceus (garden pea). RNAcentral describes it as "Pisum sativum (pea) long non-coding RNA (PSAT_LNC001251)". Lineage: Eukaryota; Viridiplantae; Streptophyta; Magnoliopsida; Fabales; Fabaceae. The record is from RNAcentral.